AUUAGAUGAGCCUAUAUUAGAUUAGCUAGUUGGUGGAGUAAUAGCCUACCAAGGCAAUGAUCUAUAGCUGAUCUGAGAGGAUGAUCAGCCACACUGGAACUGAGAUACGGUCCAGACUCCUACGGGAGGCAGCAGUGGGGAAUAUUGGACAAUGGGCGAAAGCCUGAUCCAGCCAUGCCGCAUGAGUGAAGAAGGCCUUUGGGUUGUAAAGCUCUUUUAGUGAGGAAGAUAAUGACGGUACUCACAGAAGAAGUCCUGGCUAACUCCGUGCCAGCAGCCGCGGUAAUACGGAGAGGGCUAGCGUUAUUCGGAAUUAUUGGGCGUAAAGGGCGCGUAGGCUGAUUAAUAAGUUAAAAGUGAAAUCCCGAGGCUUAACCUUGGAAUUGCUUUUAAAACUAUUAAUCUAGAGAUUGAAAGAGGAUAGAGGAAUUCCUGAUGUAGAGGUAAAAUUCGUAAAUAUUAGGAGGAACACCAGUGGCGAAGGCGUCUAUCUGAUUCAAAUCUGACGCUGAAGCGCGAAGGCGUGGGGAGCAAACAGGAUUAGAUACCCUGGUAGUCCACGCUGUAAACGAUGAAUGUUAAAUAUGGGAAG
This 592-nucleotide ribosomal RNA is filed under the name Wolbachia endosymbiont of Bemisia tabaci. Its description in RNAcentral is "bacterial SSU rRNA". It matches the Rfam family "Bacterial small subunit ribosomal RNA", at positions 220 to 829 of the family's 1533-position model. Lineage: Bacteria; Pseudomonadati; Pseudomonadota; Alphaproteobacteria; Rickettsiales; Anaplasmataceae. The record is from RNAcentral.